GGGCAAUUAACUCAUUGGUAGAGUGUAUCUCUUACAAAGAUAUGGCGGUUGGUUCGAUUCCAACAUUGCCCACCA
This 75-nucleotide transfer RNA is filed under the name Citrobacter freundii. RNAcentral's name for it is "tRNA-Val". It matches the Rfam family "tRNA". From Rfam's summary of the family: Transfer RNA (tRNA) molecules are approximately 80 nucleotides in length. Their secondary structure includes four short double-helical elements and three loops (D, anti-codon, and T loops). Further hydrogen bonds mediate the characteristic L-shaped molecular structure. tRNAs have two regions of fundamental functional importance: the anti-codon, which is responsible for specific mRNA codon recognition, and the 3' end, to which the tRNAs corresponding amino acid is attached (by aminoacyl-tRNA synthetases). tRNAs cope with the degeneracy of the genetic code in two manners: having more than one tRNA (with a specific anti-codon) for a particular amino acid; and 'wobble' base-pairing, i.e. permitting non-standard base-pairing at the 3rd anti-codon position. RNAcentral also lists the same sequence under 5 other names. The record is from RNAcentral. Lineage: Bacteria; Pseudomonadati; Pseudomonadota; Gammaproteobacteria; Enterobacterales; Enterobacteriaceae.